Molecule: ribosomal RNA, 394 nt
Filed under: uncultured Anaeromyxobacter sp.
Lineage: Bacteria; Pseudomonadati; Myxococcota; Myxococcia; Myxococcales; Anaeromyxobacteraceae
Description: bacterial SSU rRNA
Rfam family: Bacterial small subunit ribosomal RNA
Source: RNAcentral
CGAGAAAGCCCGCAAGGGUGAGUAAAGCGGCGCACGGGUGAGUAACACGUGGGUAAUCUGCCCUAGAGUCCGGAAUAACUCGCCGAAAGGCGUGCUAAUGCCGGAUGAGACCACGGGAGCCUCGGCUCCUGCGGGAAAAGGUGGCCUCUGUAUACAAGCUAUCGCUCUAGGAUGAGCCCGCGGCCCAUCAGCUCGUUGGCGGGGUAAUGGCCCACCAAGGCUACGACGGGUAGCUGGUCUGAGAGGACGAUCAGCCACACUGGAACUGAGACACGGUCCAGACUCCUACGGGAGGCAGCAGUGGGGAAUCUUGCGCAAUGGGCGAAAGCCUGACGCAGCAACGCCGCGUGUGUGAUGAAGGUCUUCGGAUCGUAAAGCACUGUCGCGAGGGACG